Molecule: ribosomal RNA, 621 nt
Filed under: Aureobasidium sp. Sib5-3-1
Lineage: Eukaryota; Fungi; Ascomycota; Dothideomycetes; Dothideales; Saccotheciaceae
Description: eukaryotic LSU rRNA
Rfam family: 5.8S ribosomal RNA (bases 251-404)
Source: RNAcentral
UCUUGGUCAAUUUAGAGGAAGUAAAAGUCGUAACAAGGUUUCCGUAGGUGAACCUGCGGAAGGAUCAUUAAAGAGUAAGGGUGCUCAGCGCCCGACCUCCAACCCUUUGUUGUUAAAACUACCUUGUUGCUUUGGCGGGACCGCUCGGUCUCGAGCCGCUGGGGAUUCGUCCCAGGCGAGCGCCCGCCAGAGUUAAACCAAACUCUUGUUAUUUAACCGGUCGUCUGAGUUAAAAUUUUGAAUAAAUCAAAACUUUCAACAACGGAUCUCUUGGUUCUCGCAUCGAUGAAGAACGCAGCGAAAUGCGAUAAGUAAUGUGAAUUGCAGAAUUCAGUGAAUCAUCGAAUCUUUGAACGCACAUUGCGCCCCUUGGUAUUCCGAGGGGCAUGCCUGUUCGAGCGUCAUUACACCACUCAAGCUAUGCUUGGUAUUGGGCGUCGUCCUUAGUUGGGCGCGCCUUAAAGACCUCGGCGAGGCCACUCCGGCUUUAGGCGUAGUAGAAUUUAUUCGAACGUCUGUCAAAGGAGAGGAACUCUGCCGACUGAAACCUUUAUUUUUCUAGGUUGACCUCGGAUCAGGUAGGGAUACCCGCUGAACUUAAGCAUAUCAAUAAGCGGAGGA